Molecule: ribosomal RNA, 1149 nt
Filed under: Klebsiella aerogenes
Lineage: Bacteria; Pseudomonadati; Pseudomonadota; Gammaproteobacteria; Enterobacterales; Enterobacteriaceae
Description: bacterial SSU rRNA
Rfam family: Bacterial small subunit ribosomal RNA
Source: RNAcentral
UGGCGGCAGGCCUAACACAUGCAAGUCGAGCGGUAGCACAGAGAGCUUGCUCUCGGGUGACGAGCGGCGGACGGGUGAGUAAUGUCUGGGAAACUGCCUGAUGGAGGGGGAUAACUACUGGAAACGGUAGCUAAUACCGCAUAACGUCGCAAGACCAAAGUGGGGGACCUUCGGGCCUCAUGCCAUCAGAUGUGCCCAGAUGGGAUUAGCUAGUAGGUGGGGUAAUGGCUCACCUAGGCGACGAUCCCUAGCUGGUCUGAGAGGAUGACCAGCCACACUGGAACUGAGACACGGUCCAGACUCCUACGGGAGGCAGCAGUGGGGAAUAUUGCACAAUGGGCGCAAGCCUGAUGCAGCCAUGCCGCGUGUAUGAAGAAGGCCUUCGGGUUGUAAAGUACUUUCAGCGAGGAGGAAGGCGUUAAGGUUAAUAACCUUGGCGAUUGACGUUACUCGCAGAAGAAGCACCGGCUAACUCCGUGCCAGCAGCCGCGGUAAUACGGAGGGUGCAAGCGUUAAUCGGAAUUACUGGGCGUAAAGCGCACGCAGGCGGUCUGUCAAGUCGGAUGUGAAAUCCCCGGGCUCAACCUGGGAACUGCAUUCGAAACUGGCAGGCUAGAGUCUUGUAGAGGGGGGUAGAAUUCCAGGUGUAGCGGUGAAAUGCGUAGAGAUCUGGAGGAAUACCGGUGGCGAAGGCGGCCCCCUGGACAAAGACUGACGCUCAGGUGCGAAAGCGUGGGGAGCAAACAGGAUUAGAUACCCUGGUAGUCCACGCCGUAAACGAUGUCGACUUGGAGGUUGUGCCCUUGAGGCGUGGCUUCCGGAGCUAACGCGUUAAGUCGACCGCCUGGGGAGUACGGCCGCAAGGUUAAAACUCAAAUGAAUUGACGGGGGCCCGCACAAGCGGUGGAGCAUGUGGUUUAAUUCGAUGCAACGCGAAGAACCUUACCUACUCUUGACAUCCAGAGAACUUAGCAGAGAUGCUUUGGUGCCUUCGGGAACUCUGAGACAGGUGCUGCAUGGCUGUCGUCAGCUCGUGUUGUGAAAUGUUGGGUUAAGUCCCGCAACGAGCGCAACCCUUAUCCUUUGUUGCCAGCGGUUAGGCCGGGAACUCAAAGGAGACUGCCAGUGAUAAACUGGAGGAAGGUGGGG